RNAcentral lists this ribosomal RNA (406 nucleotides) under uncultured bacterium. RNAcentral's name for it is "partial 16S ribosomal RNA". It matches the Rfam family "Bacterial small subunit ribosomal RNA", at positions 30 to 526 of the family's 1533-position model. The record is from RNAcentral.
AUUGAACGCUGGCGGCAGGCCUAACACAUGCAAGUCGAGCGAGCGGCGGACGGGUGAGUAAUGUCUGGGAAACUCUCUGAUGGGGGGGGGUAACACUUGGAAACGGUAGCUAAUACCGCAUACCAUCAGAUGUGCCCCCAUGGGAUUAGCUAGUAGGUGGGGUAACGGCUCACCAAGGCGCCGAUCCCUAGCUGGUCUGAGAGGAUGACACGCCACACUGGAACUGAGACACGGUCCAGACUCCUACGGGAGGCAGCAGUGGGGAAUAUUGCACAAUGGGGGCAAGCCUGAUGCAGCCAUGCCGCGUGAGUGAAGAAGGCCUUCGGGUUGUAAAGCACUUUCAGCGGGGAGGCGUUACCCGCAGAAGAAGCACCGGCUAACUCCGUGCCAGCAGCCGCGGUAAUUC